Molecule: transfer RNA, 90 nt
Organism: Aspergillus fumigatus Af293
Lineage: Eukaryota; Fungi; Ascomycota; Eurotiomycetes; Eurotiales; Aspergillaceae
Rfam family: tRNA
About the family: Transfer RNA (tRNA) molecules are approximately 80 nucleotides in length.
Source: Rfam
GUCUCCAUGGCCCAGCUGGUUAAGGCGUCCGACUGUUAAGCAGUGGCUUGUGCAAUCGGGAGAUCGGCAGUUCGAGCCUGCCUGGGGACG